GCCCGUAUAGCUCAGCUGGUAGAGCAUUGUACUUAUGAGGAUAACUGACCAUGCAAGGGUCUCGAGUUCGAAUCUCGAUAUGGGCA
The sequence is a transfer RNA, 86 nucleotides long. It matches the Rfam family "tRNA". From Rfam's summary of the family: Transfer RNA (tRNA) molecules are approximately 80 nucleotides in length. Their secondary structure includes four short double-helical elements and three loops (D, anti-codon, and T loops).